AUUGAACGCUGGCGGCAUGCCUUACACAUGCAAGUCGAACGGCAGCACGGGUGCUUGCACCUGGUGGCGAGUGGCGAACGGGUGAGUAAUACAUCGGAACAUGUCCUGUAGUGGGGGAUAGCCCGGCGAAAGCCGGAUUAAUACCGCAUACGAUCUACGGCUGACAGCGGGGGACCUUCGGGCCUCGCGCUAUAGGGUUGGCCGAUGGCUGAUUAGCUAGUUGGUGGGGUAAAGGCCUACCAAGGCGACGAUCAGUAGAUGGUCUGAGAGGACGACCAGCCACACUGGGACUGAGACACGGCCCAGACUCCUACGGGAGGCAGCAGUGGGGAAUUUUGGACAAUGGGCGAAAGCCUGAUCCAGCAAUGCCGCGUGUGUGAAGAAGGCCUUCGGGUUGUAAAGCACUUUUGUCCGGAAAGAAAUCCUUGGCUCUAAUACAGGCGGGGGAUGACGGUACCGGAAGAAUAAGCACCGGCUAACUACGUG
RNAcentral lists this ribosomal RNA (486 nucleotides) under uncultured bacterium. RNAcentral's name for it is "partial 16S ribosomal RNA". It matches the Rfam family "Bacterial small subunit ribosomal RNA", at positions 30 to 507 of the family's 1533-position model. The record is from RNAcentral.